Molecule: transfer RNA, 17 nt
Filed under: Trifolium lupinaster
Lineage: Eukaryota; Viridiplantae; Streptophyta; Magnoliopsida; Fabales; Fabaceae
Also listed under: 5 other names
Description: partial tRNA-Phe
Source: RNAcentral
GUCGGGAUAGCUCAGCC